GUUCAUUGGUUCUAGAUCUGGUUGGGGGAAGGGGAUGAGGCAAGAGUUCCCCCUGGGGAGGAAGUUGUCAAGGCUAUAGAGGAGGUGGCCAGAAAAUCCAGUGAAGUGAAGCAUAGCUGGGGCUUUUCCUCAAAUAGUGGUCAGGGAGAGGCAAUCACCAAUCAGGUCUCUCUAUCUAACCUAGGCUGCCUGCUGGCCCCUCACUCUUGGGGGCUCACCCUACUGGAGCCAGACUUAGUGUGGACACCCAAUCAGCUGCAGCCCGACUGCAGAACUCCCAGACUCAAGCAGCCCCCAGGAACAGGGAAAGUAAGGCAAGCACAUGGCACAGUGCGGCACAUAGGAAACGCUUAACAAAUGUUUGUUGACUUAAUUACACCGGACAAAUGGAAAAGUGGACACCAGGAGAGGCAUCAAGUCACUCCAAGAGAACAACCCUCUACUUUCAUCAAAACACCUGGGCAGUACGUCAACCCCAUGAUGCUUUGGUAGGAUCACAGGCCGCAGGAGGGACCUCAGGACAACCAGUCCAACCCUUGCUUUUGAGAGAUGAGGAAACCGAGGCCCAAAGUCAUAUGAGCAGUAAGACACAGGCGAGCAAGACGACGACGAGCACUGGUCAGUCUGGCUUGGACCGGGAAUAGUAUGGUGCAGGGGAAAGAGCACUUGCUUGGCAGUCAGAGACCCUGGGCUCCAGUGUCAGCCCCGAGCUCUGAGGUUUCCCCCUCUCUAGGCCUCAGUUUUCACAUCUGUAAAAUGAGCUCUAGGGAAGUUUGGAAGAGGGGCAGACUUGGAGGGAAAGACAACCAAGGUCACACUCAGAUACUGAGUUUAAAGUGUCCCUGGAACGUCCUAGUUGAGGUGUCCAGGAGGCAACUAGAACUUUAGGCCUAGGGCUCAGGGAGGGAUUGGAGGCAGCUACGUAGACCUGAAAAUUACCAGCAAAGAAAAGAUUGGGGAAGCUGCAGGAGAGAGUGUAGAGAGAAGAGAAGGCUCAGGACAGAGCCUGGGGUAACACCCAUAGAUGGAAAAUGGGAGCAGGGAAGGACACGGGGAAGUAGGUAGUGAAGUAGGAGGGGCCCAGGAGCAAGAGGCUCACAAAAGCCAAGGGUGGAUAGAGUGUCCAGGAAGUUGUAGGGCAUCACUCAAAUGCUCUCUUGUCCUUUUUCCUUGUUCUGCCCCAAUUCCACCCUCCAUCCCACUCUUCUUCCCACCCUCCAUCCCAACCUCCUUCUCAUCCUCCAUUUCAUCUUCCA
Non-coding RNA from Phascolarctos cinereus (koala), 1256 nucleotides. The record is from RefSeq and is a predicted model, not a curated record. Lineage: Eukaryota; Metazoa; Chordata; Mammalia; Diprotodontia; Phascolarctidae.